UCGGAUGAACCAGGGGCCCCUCGAUCUAUUCGCUACGACCAUGGGAACCAUGUCCCAGCCACCAUCGCGAUCCCUUCGCCUCCGUCAUCCAACUCAUCCCUCGACCUUUUUGCUAGGGUGUCGUUGUGGGUUCCCAGCCUCCGCCACCCUCAAGACCGUAGACGCCACCGCUGUCAUCGAGACCACGGACGCCACCGCCGUCAUCGAGACCGCCCCGCCACCUUCCCCAUGCGGGCCAUCCGCGCGUCUCCCUCCAAUCCCCUUCCCGCUGACCGCGGGGAUGCGGCCUCCUUCCAUCAUCCAUGGUGACGGCGCCCGCGUCCCACAGUGACCCUCCCCCUCCGACAGGUUUGCCGUUUGAUGGGAUGGGAGGUGCCGCUGCAGUUUGGGGAGGCACAACCAGGAUCCGGUUGGGAUCUACGUGUGGACUCGUUCGAGGCCAUGAUGCUCGACUCCUGCACCGCCGAUCUGGACAAGGAGGAGCGCCCCGAGACUAAAAAGAAACGGAGGGAGUACUAUCUGCGGAUACAUGAUAUUUUCGUUUCUUCACUGUCCACCUGCCUGGAUCCGGGGAGCAUGUGUCUUUAUUUACUGCUUUUGCCCCACUCGGCUCCAAAUUUAAUCAACCAUAAUAUUUGUGGGGUACCUAAAGAAAUGCAUGUUGUAAUCCGUGAUGCUUCUGGAGGUGCUGCAUUAUUUUGGGGACCAAACUAAUCCGCACUGUGGCGUUCACUGCAACUGUGCCCAUUGUUGUGAUGCUGACGCCUACUUUUUAGUGUUACCCGUGUCCCAUUUUGGUUCAAGAAAAACAUCGCUUCCUACGAUGGAGGACGCGCUGCCUCCUGGCAAAUGGGAUCGGAGGGAGGGGCUCUACCUCGUGAUGGUCAGCGAGGCAGCGGCCGAAGGGGAGCCCGGCGUUGAACACGGGUGUGGAAUGCAAUGAACUGGAGUACAAGCUCAACCCCGGCAAACUCCAGUUCCGCAAAAGAGAUUAAGAGCUCAAGGUACCAAGUUCCUAAAUGGAUCGACACCAGGGUUUCUGUCAAAGUAGUCGACAGAGAAAGAGAAGUCAUAAAUCUUUCAGGAACCGUUGUGCCGAUGAUGAUUGUUUCUGAAAUCUGAAUAUCAUCCAAAUUUAUUUCUAGAACACAGGCUGAUUUAGCAAGCUACACUCAGAGUAAAGGAAGGCUUCAUGGUCAGAAGGGGCAUGACUUAUCUGCAUCAGUGACAAGUUGUACCCCACCAUCCAUUGCGACCUAAAGCCAAAGCGAGAAGAGGAAAUGGAGCAACUUGGACUUCUAUGUUCUCUUGCUGCAUUCUCUGGGAAUCAUAAAUACUUGCAUAAUUAUUGAGCUGAAGGUGUUCAUCGAUAGUCUUCAUCGAUAAAUACUUGCAUAUUUGACCGCAAACAUUUUCUCGGUUGUGCCCUACUUUACUUUCUGAAUCUUGGUAAGGUGCGAGAAAAAUCUUUUUGGUGAUAUAAUGGAGGCCUAAUGAAGGUUGGAUGAUUCUGCCUGAUGAGGAUGUCCAAUAUUGCUCUCGAGAAAGUGAAACUGGUGAACCACAAGGCCCUUGCUGAAAGCUUCAGCAAGCCCACUUUUAGUAACAUCAAAAUAAGAAGUACGUAUAUGGAUAGUAAUCCUUCACUGAAAAAUUUAAUUAUAUUCUUCUGUAAAUUAGGUUGCUACACUGCACCCGAGCUAUACAGAAAUGAAGUGUUCGACAUGAGUAUGCAUAAACAUUCAGCUUCAUCCUUCACAAGGUCGGUAUAAGUUUUUGUUCCACAUGCAGUUAUUGUGCAGCGUGCACAAAUCAGCAGAGGCAGCUAUUUCAGGUAAGAUAUACUGUAUUAAUAACCAAGUAUAAUCAACGUUAUAGGCUGGCCUCAUGUUGAGAAUACUUGACAAUGAGUUUUCACAUCUACUACAGCGGUAGUAUCCCACAUUUAUUUUUCUUUUGUUUGCAUUAUCAAUCUGCUUACAUGGUUAAGGAUUUUUUUUCCCUUCCACUAGAGAGAAAUGGAUCCUCAAGUUCCAUUUUGUGGUGAUUUUCUUUUGGAGCGUUAUCAAUCAAGUUGCAUGGAAUUAGAAAAGGGAUGAGCAACUCAAGCGAAUAAAGGGUAGAAGAAUGAAGAAGUAAGCAGGGUGUGGAGGCAGGUCCUCUUAAGGCAACAUGGAGGUUCUAACAAACAGCGAUGCAAUAUGGAGGACUUGAUCGUUUACGUUGGAAGAAUGGACAACCUGCAGGGCAACAUGGGUAUCUCACAUCUAUCUCUUUAGGGUUCAGAUUUUUGUCUGAUCCCACCUGCCGCAAGUGCGAGACGAUUUUCUGCAGAUGCUGAGGUGGCUCAAACGGAUCUGUUGGCACCCUGUCCAUGCAUACAAUAGCAUUCCCUGCUCUCCCCGUUCGAUCAUCUGUCCAGUAUAAGCAUGGAUGAGUUGAUUGGCUCGGUUCACUUUAUAUUUCUCAUACGGAUAGGAGCAUCAAAUGGUUUCAAGCAUGCUUCCGGUUGCCUGGCAGUUGGUGAGAGAACUAUGUGAUAUUAUCCUCUCACGUAACCUGUUCUGAAGCUCAAUUUAGGUGCAAUGUCUAUACAACAGAAUACACAAGUCGAAUCAGACCGAAGGCCAAUGGUUUUGUUAUUUUGGCGAGAGUCAACAUAUUUGGACAAUGUCUAUGUAUAAUAAUGUAACUUUACUGGGUUUCUGUCAUAAUUUAUUUGAACAUUUUGAUUACUACACUAGCAUAACCUCAUUUGGUUGCUACUACAGAUUUCAACUAUGGACACAUUAUCACAGUUUUCAUGUCCUAUCGUUGAUAGAUUAUACCUUGCCCUUA
Long non-coding RNA from Triticum dicoccoides, 2838 nucleotides. RefSeq lists it as uncharacterized. The record is from RefSeq and is a predicted model, not a curated record. NCBI's taxonomy places the organism in Eukaryota, Viridiplantae, Streptophyta, Magnoliopsida, Poales, Poaceae. The transcript is spliced from 12 exons.